UUUUUUUGCCUUACAAGGGGCCAAAACCAGUGGCCUUAGCCUGUAGCUAAUGGUUUCUGGCUUUCUACUACUUGUUUUCAGCCAUCACCAUCCCCUCUAUAAAUAAAGGCCCCUUAGAAUCCAUUAGCUUCAUCAAGAUCAUCUGUAAUCUGCAGUCAUCUACUUGCAAAAGAAAACGGAAACUUAAAGGGUUAAAGGAAAAAAAUGAGUACAGCAAGAACGGCUUGGAUUGUGGGAGCUAGCAUUGGAGCUGUAGAGGCAUUGAAGGACCAGGGCUUUUGCAGAUGGACCUACACCAUGAGAUCAUUACACAAACAUGCAAAGAAUAAUAUGAGCUCAAUCUCUCAGACCAAGAAGCUUUCGUCUUCAUCGUUUGCUAUGGUUUCGGGUGAAUUGAGGGAAUCAAGCCAAUCCGAGGAGUCUCUGAGGAAAGUCAUGUACUUGAGUUGUUGGGGUUCAAAUUAAAUGAGUUGAGAAGUUUGCCAUGAGAAUCUGACGCCUCAUGCAGGCUGAAGCUGGUCCAUUGAGAAGAACAUAGCCAAAGCCAUGAUUACGGUUUGUGAGAGAAAAUUUGCGGGGCUUGAUUAGUGAUUGAUGCAAGCCUGAUGUGAACUGUAGCUAGUCUGACUGCCCUCUCAUCAGUGGCGGAGAGAGGGGGGCGCGGCCCCUGCAAGGAAUUUUUUUUCCAGCCCCUCCCUUCAUAAUAUUAAUAAAUUUAGUCUAAAUAAUCAAACAACUAAUAUUUUUGCCCCCUUUAAUUCUUUUUUCUGGUUCCGCCCCUGCCUCUCAUGAUCAGCUUGUAAUUACACCAUUGCUAUAUGGAACAAAAAUGUUGUCACCAUCUUCCUAUCUUUUGCUAUCCCUUUGAAUUGAUGUCCCAUGCAAUCUCAAAAUUCUUGCUUGUUCUUAAGAUCAUUGCGCUGUGAGAUGUUGUUGUCACCAAAUUUUCAUGGUUUCUGUGACAUGGGCUAAAUGACAUUCAAACAUCCUGCUUAAUUUUGAGCAUGGAUUAAGCCUUUCCUUGAUAGAUCAUGGUUUGAUGCUUAACGUCAAGCAACAAGAUUGGAUGCAUGUGCAUUUUCAAUUAAGAAUUCAAACUGGAAUUUCAACAAUUUUUCUGCAGAUCUGUCUCCCAAAUUCCAACCUGACUAUCAGUGUGACCGCUUCUCACUUCAAGCAAAGCGAUUAACCAUUUCUGCGCAUGGAUAAUAGGGCUUCGAUAGGAUUUUAGAGGCUUACUUUGAAUGGUGGGCAGAAUUCUUAAGAGCAAUGGAUAUACAAACCACCAACUUUCAUUUAAUUCUCAAUUGGAUUCCCACAUAGAAAACUAGAAAGGCCAAGGAUGCACUCGGAUGUGUAGAUGGGCUUAGAUAUGCUCGGAUGGUACUUCACUAAAAAAAACAUGUGUAGCGGUGUUUUUUAUUUUUUUUAUUUUUUUAAAUGAAUUGUUUUUAUUUUUCUUAAAUUAAGUUUUUAUUUUUUGUAUUUUAUGAUUUUAAAAAUGAAUUUUUUAAAAUAAAAAAAAUUAUUUUAAUAUAUUUUCAAACAAUUUUUUUAAAUAAAAACCACUAACAAAACAUCAGAAUCUACAUAUAUUUUUUAAACAAUCUGAAUUGAAAUAUCAAAUAUAAAAUAAUGUGCUAAUUGAUGCUUUCGUAUUUUCUUUUCCCAAAUCUUUUAUAAACCUACCUGUGUAAGUUGAUGGCGAGUAGGAUUUUUAUAAAUCUUCAUGUCCGGAUGGAAGUAAUUUGCUCAAUUUUGUAAGUUCCUGAAAAGGGAUAGAUCCAAGCUUUAUGUGAAUACAUGUUUACCGUAAAAUAAAAUAUGAAAAAGAUGAAUUCCAAGAAAUCGCGUGAGAGAGAGAGAGAUAGAGAGGCUAUCAACUUUAUUUUAUAAGAAGAAGAAAAGGAGAAGCAUGCAAUUUGACAUUUGUUUAUCCUCAGUCCCACACUUUUUUUUUAUUGUUAUUAUCAAGGUUUGUAAAAUUUCAACCGAUAAUUUUUAAAGAAUAAAUUUAAAAAUUAAUCAGUUAAACUACGCCCGGUUCAGUCCCGCACUUUCUUACAUUCCUUACAAGUGGCAAAUGCACUUCAAUGAGAAAGUGCCACCGAAUGGUUGCAAGCAUGACUCACCACCCUUCAGCUAUGAUGCUCCUCCUGAUGCCUUGGCUUGGAUUUUUUUAUUUUACAAAGCAAAACCGUGUGCUCAUUUGAAGGCAGGCAGAGAAGCUUUUGGGUUGUUGUCGAGCAAAAGUAUAAUUACCAUUGGCUUUUGCUGGUUUCCGCACCCAAAACCACCAGCAGGAAGCCUUUAGCCUCACGUUUUUUCCUCAACUUUUGGCAUUCUCACCUAUAUAACCAAACCCCAUCCUUCCAUUGGAUUCAUCAAAGCAUAGCUCGUGUUAUCUUACUCUCUACAAAUCCCACUACAAACUUGUUGGUUCUAUAUUACAGUAACAUAAAAAAUGAGUUCAGCGAGUAAAGCUUGGUUGGUUGCCGCUGCUAUCGGAGGUGUUGAGGCGUUGAAAGAUCAAGGGUUCUGUAGGUGGAACUACACCUUGAGAUCCCUACACCACCAUGCCAAGAACCAUGUCAGAUCAGCCUCUCAGGCCAAGAAGCUUUCUUCUUCAUCCUCAGCCAUGAUCUCAAAUAUAGUCAAGGAAGAGAAGGCAAAACAGUCAGAGGAGUCUUUAAGAAAAGUCAUGUACUUGAGUUGUUGGGGUCCAAACUGAAGCUAUGAAUCUAGUAGAUGAAAUCGAGGGACUUAGUUUGUAGGAGUAAAUCCUUGCAAGCUUAUGCAAAUUGUAAAAUUUGAUGCUCAUUUGGAGCUGUAGAGGCAUUGAAGGACCAGGGUUUUUGCAGAUGGACCUACACCAUGAGAUCAUUACACAAACAUGCCAAGAAUAAUACGAGGUCAAUCUCUCAGGCCAGGAAGCUUUCUUCUUCAUCUUUUGCUAUGGUUUCGAAUAAAUUGAGGGGAUCAAGCCAAUACGAGGAGUCUCUGAGGAAAGUCAUGUACUUGAGUUGUUGGGGUCCAAAUUAAAUGAGUUUAGAAGUUUGCCAUGAGAAUCUGAUGCCUUAUGCAGGCUGAAGCUGGUCCAUUGAGAAGAACAUAGCCAAAGCCAUGAUUAUGGUUUGUGAGAGAAAAUUUGCGGGGCUUGAUUAGUGAUUGAUGCAAGCCUAGUGUUAACUGUAGCUAGUCUGACUGCCAUCUCAUGAUCAGCUUGUAAUUACACCAUUGCUAUACGCAACACGAAAAUUUUGUGGAACAAAAUAUGUUGUCACCAUCUUCCUAUCUUUUGCUAUCCCUUUUUAAUUGA
Molecule: long non-coding RNA, 3319 nt
Filed under: Populus tremula
Lineage: Eukaryota; Viridiplantae; Streptophyta; Magnoliopsida; Malpighiales; Salicaceae
Description: long non-coding RNA (PTRE_LNC001600)
Source: RNAcentral